This 318-nucleotide long non-coding RNA is filed under the name Brassica napus (rape). RNAcentral describes it as "long non-coding RNA (BNAP_LNC002512)". Lineage: Eukaryota; Viridiplantae; Streptophyta; Magnoliopsida; Brassicales; Brassicaceae. The record is from RNAcentral.
UUACUUCCUUCUUCAUUGUUUCUUCUCCGGUUGAUAAUCAGUUCUCCCACUGAUCAAAAUAAUUCCAUACAAGUUAUGAUUACUCCUAACUGAAAGUUAAAGCUCUAUCAGCAACGAAGGUAACCAUAAUCAUCUCAACUCUUUUAUAUGUCUUAUCUUUGUGAAACUACAUACAUUUAUUUCAUCCGAUAUAAACAGAAAUGAAAAGGAAAGAAGAAAAAGUCAAACGAAAGAAUCCAGCAAACAUAAAACACAAGCAGAACCGUAAACAAGUGGUAUUCUAUCUUUAGUUAUUCUCCGGCUCUCUCUCUCUCUCUC